UAACUAUUAUUAACGCUGUUAGAUGAAUAGCUUGGUUUUGGUUCUGAUGAAGGACGUGGCAAGCUGCGAAAAGUUUGGGCGAGCCGCAUGCAGGCUUUGAACCCAAAAUAUCCUAAUCACUCAGAGAUGAGAAGAAACGCCGGGAAUUGAAACAUCUUAGUACCGGCAGGAAGAGAAAAUAAAUAAUGAUACCCUUAUUAGCAGCGAGCGAAAAGGGUCAAGGGCAAACCGAAUCUCCCGUCGAAAGAUGGGCAGAGAUGUGGUGAAGGUAAAUAGCUAAGGAAUCGAAGAAAAGUCCUCUGGAACGAGGCACCUCAGAGGGUGAUAGUCCCGUAUCUUAAAAUUCUAUGUUGUUCUUCAACGAGUAGGGCGUCCUGGAUUGGGCGUCUGAAUACGGCAGGAUUAACUGCCAACCCUAAAUAUAACCAAAGUCCGAUAGCGCACUAGUACCGCGAGGGAAAGCUGAAAAGUACCCUUAACAGGGUGUUAAAAGACUUGAAAUCUAACAGCUACAGAGUGUUACUGCCCUAAACGAUUUAUCGUCGUGGGUUGUAACGUACGUUUUGAAGAACGGGCCAGGGAGUUUCUCUAUGUGGCGAGGCUAACCUUCUAUGAAGGGUAACCGGAGCGAAAGCAAGUCUGAAAUAGGCGUUAGUCACAUGGAUAAGACCUGAAGCCAGAUGAUCUAUUCAUGGGCAAGGUGAAGUCUCUCGAAAGGGGGAUGGAGGCCUGAACUAGUGUUGUGUACAUGCACUUAAAUGAUCUGUGAAUAGGGGUGAAAAGCCUCUCUAAUCUGGCAAUGGCUGGUUCCCGCUGAAAUAUGCCUUCGUAUAGUCUCGUCUUGUUUGUUGACGUUGUAAAGUACGGAUUGAAUUCGCAGGACCUAUUGGUUACGGAAUUCGUUCCAACUCAGAAUAUGUCAAUUGCAUAGGACGGGAAACAGGGUGUGUAUGUAAGAUACACUUCCGAGACCGGAACAACGGAGACUUAAGUUAAGGUCCCUAAAUUUAUACUAAGUGUAACGAAAGGUGUCAUGAACCUGAGACAAUGGGGAUGUAAGCUUAGAAGCAGCUAUCAUUCAAAGAAAGCGUAACAGCUCACCCAUCGAGGUUCAAGGCCCUGAAAAUGGACGGGGCUAAGUAUAAUACCGAUACUUAAGCGGCACUCGAAAGAGUGUUCGGGUAAGCGGGCGUCUUUUCUGCGCAGAAGGUUUUUCGAGAGAAAGGCUGGAGCGGAAAGGAAUGAGAAUCCUGGCAAUAGUAGGAAGUGAUUUCCGUGAGAAUCGGAAAUGUCGAAAGAGCAAGGUUUCCUCGGCAAUAUUCGUUAUCCGAGGGUUAGUCAGUGCCUAAGUCAUGCCUUAGCUGAGCAUGACGAUGGACAGCAGGUUAAUAUUCCUGCACUGAUUGAGUCUUUUGUAUGAAAUAGUUUUUGGAUAAGCGAACAUCCGGAAGGAUGUUCUUGUAAAGAAAUUCAGAUAGCGUAAUGCUAAGACCUGAAUGAACUUACAGGAUAAAGUCGCUGAGUCCGGGAGCCAGUGAAAAGUUUCAUGCUAAACGGAUUUAAUCAACUGUACCCACAACCGACACUGGUGCUCUAGCUGAGUAGGCUAAGACAUGUAAGCUUUAAAUCAACUAAGGGAACUCGGCAAUUUGGCCCUGUAACUUCGGUUUAAGGGGUGUCUAUAUUUGUGUUUUCAGAAAUGUAAAUGCAUUUGUAGAUCUCAGUAACAAGGGCGGCCCGACUGUUUACCAAAAACGUAGCUAAGCGCGAAUCCGAAAGGAUGUGUAUGCUUGGUGAGACCUGCCCAGUGGUGGUGUGUCAAACUCCUUUUCAAGGGAGCUAAGCCCCAUCAAACGGCGGGGGUAACUAUGACCCUCUUAAGGUAGCGUAAUGCCUUGUCGUAUGAAUUGCGACGUGCAUGAAUGGUUUAACGAGGUCGCCACUGUCCCUAGUUGAGAGCUUCCGAAAAUCUUGUGUGGUGAAAAUACCACGGACGCCUAGUGGGAAGCGGAGACCUUGUGGAACUUUACUACAACUUGUUGUUGUGAUUUUAUCUGGAAUACAUAGAAUAAGUAGGAGCGUCGAAGUGUUCAUUUCGGUGGACAUGGAGCGAACUUGUAAUACUACUUAUUUUUGAUAAAGUUGCUUACUUCUAUGGAGGACAGCAGCAGGCGGGUAGUUUGACUGGGGCGGUGCCCUGUCGAAAAUAUAUCGAUAGGACUCAAAGAUAAGCUCACCUAGCUUGGAAAUCUAGGGUUGAGUGCGAGGGCAAAAGCUUAUCUGACUGUAUUUCGACAAGUAAGAAAUGCAGGGACGAAAGUCGGACCUAGUGAACCCACGUGCUUAUUUAAUAGAAGCCGUGUCUGAUAGAAAAGUUACCCCAAGGAUAACAGGCUUGUCGCCCCCGAUAGUCCAUAUUGACGGGGCGGUUUGGUACAUCGCUGUCGGCUCAUCCUAUCCUGCGCGUGCAGAAGCGUGCAAGGGUGCCGGAGUUCACGCAUUAAAAGGGUUCGUUAGCUGGGUUAAGAACGUCGCGAGACAGUUUGUAUGAUAUCUACUAGGUGUGUUAUUGUCUGAGUGGAACAAAUCAGUAGUACGAGAGGAACCUGAUCUGGAUGCCUCUGGUGAGCGGUUGUCAUGUGGCACGCCGCGUAGCUACGCAUUGUAUGGAUAAGAGCUGAAUGCAUCUAAGCUCGAAGCCAUCCGCAAAACGAGACAAUUAAGGCCGUCAUAGAAGAUGACGUUGAUAGAGUUGGAGUGUAAGAUUCGAGCUUCGGCGAGAAUUUCAGCUAACAACUACUAAAAGCCUCAAACUGAUUUUU
RNAcentral lists this ribosomal RNA (2822 nucleotides) under groundwater metagenome. RNAcentral describes it as "bacterial LSU rRNA". It matches the Rfam family "Archaeal large subunit ribosomal RNA". The record is from RNAcentral.